AUUGAACGCUGGCGGCAGGCCUAACACAUGCAAGUCGAGCGAGCGGCGGACGGGUGCGUACUGUAUGGGGACUGCCCGUUACAUGGGGAUAACUACUGGAAACGGUAGCUAAUACCGCCUCCCAUCCGAUAACCCUUAUGGGAUUAGCUAGUCGGUGAGGUAAUGGAUCACCUAGUCGACGAUCCCCAGCUGGUCUGAGAGGAUGAUCAGCCACACUGGGACUGAGAAACGGCCCAGACGCCUACGGAGGCAGCAGUGGGGAAUAUUGCACAAUGGGCGCAAGCCUGAUGCAGCCAUGCCGCGUGUAUGAAGAAGGCACUAGGGUUGUAAAGUACUUUCAGUCGGGAGGCGUUACCGACAGAAGAAGCACCGGCUAACUCCGUGCCAGCAGCCGCGGUAAUAC
This 403-nucleotide ribosomal RNA is filed under the name uncultured bacterium. RNAcentral describes it as "partial 16S ribosomal RNA". It matches the Rfam family "Bacterial small subunit ribosomal RNA", at positions 30 to 526 of the family's 1533-position model. The record is from RNAcentral.